Molecule: long non-coding RNA, 839 nt
Organism: Schistocerca gregaria
Lineage: Eukaryota; Metazoa; Arthropoda; Insecta; Orthoptera; Acrididae
Exons: 2
Source: RefSeq, a predicted model, not a curated record
GAUAAGCGCGGUUACAUUAGAGGGAGGAGGGUCGUGGGUUGAGGAUGUGGAGGAAAUGACGUCUGAGCUGUUCAAAGAGAUGGCAAAGCUGAUUUUGGAUACUGCAAGUGUAGGGGAAAAGGAUGUGUGGCGGAAAGGUGUAAUAGAUGUGAGCGAGAGAUAUGGAGUAGAUUUAGAGUGGCUGGAUAAAAGAGUGAGAAAAUGGAAGAUGAUAUCCUUUUAGUUGAUGGGAUAUUCACGCGUCUGUGAAGAUGUGAUACAUAUGCAGUUGUGCGAAGGUGGCAUUUUGGAGAGUGAGUGGUCGAAAGAGCUGGAAUCGUUGAGAUUGAGUGCAGAAAAAGUGAGAUUGCUUUUGGAGAGUUAUCGGAGAUAUGAAUCGGAGGGCGUAUCGCGCGUGUUACGUACGAACAGGCUGGUGGAUUUUGAGUCUAGGAUUGUGGUUUCUGCGGCGAGUUCCGAGCUGAAAAGUUUGAAUGGUUUGUCGGUUCAGUUGAGAUUGGUUGUUGAGACGAGUUAUGGCCUAAGGUGUGUGGCGUUUGAAUUGACGUUGGAACAAUUUUUCCGAGUACUAGAAAAUUUAGAGAACGCAAGGGCGAAGUUGGAGGGGGCGCAGGUCAGGAUUUGAAGGGAGUUAUUUUCAAAGGUGUGAUGGGCGUUUGGAGCUUUAAGAAUGUAUAUAUGCAAGAGCUAGAUGUGCGCACAUUUGAGAAGAGAGGAUAGCAGCGAAAGCGUUGGAAAGAGAAGGGUAUUUCAAGAACACUAACGUAGAGGAAAUUUGAAAGUUUUUAUUAUAUUAUAAUGUAAGUGAAGACAGAGAGAAAUGUUAAGAUGCUAAGAAA